AGAGUUUGAUCCUGGCUCAGAUUGAACGCUGGCGGUAUGCUUAACACAUGCAAGUCGAACGGAAACGAUACUAGCUUGCUAGUAGGCGUCGAGUGGCGGACGGGUGAGUAACGCGUAGGAAUCUACCAGAUAGUGGGGGAUAGCCCGGAGAAAUUCGGAUUAAUACCGCAUAAUCUCUACGGAGUAAAGGAGGCCUCUAUUUAUAUGCUUUCGCUAUCUGAUGAGCCUGCGUAAGAUUAGCUAGUUGGUGAGGUAAAAGCUCACCAAGGCGACGAUCUUUAGCUGGUCUGAGAGGAUGAUCAGCCACACUGGGACUGAGACACGGCCCAGACUCCUACGGGAGGCAGCAGUGGGGAAUAUUGGACAAUGGGGGCAACCCUGAUCCAGCAAUACCGCGUGUGUGAAGAAGGCCUGAGGGUUGUAAAGCACUUUCAAUUGUGAA
RNAcentral lists this ribosomal RNA (442 nucleotides) under uncultured marine bacterium. Its description in RNAcentral is "bacterial SSU rRNA". It matches the Rfam family "Bacterial small subunit ribosomal RNA", at positions 8 to 446 of the family's 1533-position model. The record is from RNAcentral.